UGUAUUUCAUAGGAAUUGCUUUUGUCAUGGAAGAAAUUUGCAGACAAAAUGCACAUCUUUUGCUUACAUUCUCAGGUUGUGUUUGGCUUUGAACUGACAGAUUUCUGACCAUAUGGCUUCACUAUCCCAGCUGUGAGUGUCCUGUCUUCUCACCAUCCUCCCCCAAGUGGGCACCACCACCAAAUCCAGGAAACGUGGAGGAUCUGUGUUCUGCAUUCAUUGUUUUCAAGUGAGCCCCAUUAAUACCGUCAGAGAUUCUGUGCUCCUGUGAGGACAGAGGGAAAGCAAAGAGCGUGUGUCCACAGGAUGCGUUCACCACAGCGGCCCGCAAGCUAACUCUCAG
This 343-nucleotide long non-coding RNA is filed under the name Fukomys damarensis (Damara mole-rat). Its description in RNAcentral is "lncRNA (ENSFDAG00000028196.1)". Lineage: Eukaryota; Metazoa; Chordata; Mammalia; Rodentia; Bathyergidae. The record is from RNAcentral.